This is a long non-coding RNA of Mustela erminea (ermine), 792 nucleotides long. RefSeq lists it as uncharacterized. The record is from RefSeq and is a predicted model, not a curated record. The transcript is spliced from 3 exons. NCBI's taxonomy places the organism in Eukaryota, Metazoa, Chordata, Mammalia, Carnivora, Mustelidae.
GGUCAAUUCAACAGAAAGGGGCUGACUCCCCCGCUGCCUACAUUCAAAGUAAUAUAAAAACUUGUAAUACAGAACCGCUCUUCUGGGGGCGAGAAGGAGGGCUGCGCUAAGCCCAGAGAGCCCCUGAACAGUCAGUCUGUCGGCUCACCUGGACCCGUCAUCAAGCCCACGCUGCUCACAAGGAAAUGAUUUUCGAGAGAAGGUCCACGUACAUCUGAUCUGCGGAUAUGCUUUAAACCUGACAGAAAAACAAAACUCUUCAUACUGGUCAAUCUCAUAGUCUUCACUCGAUUUGGAACCAUUUAUAAAUCCCUUUUCUGUUAAAAAAAAAAGUAUGUUUAUACAUUAGAUGGGAUUCAUAUGGACAUACAUUGAAAAGAUAAAAUACAUUUUUAUUCAUCAGUUUCACAUAAGAAAACUCCGAUGUGGCCAUGCCGCAGGUCAGAACUGACAGUUGACAAGAAAUUCAAGAGUCCUCUCCCUAGUUAUAAACCUGGGUUCGUCACCUUCUAUAGUCAAGAUUCCUCUAAGAAUUGGAUGUCAGUAAUUGAAUCCCUCCCCAAAUCAAUCUCCAUAUUUUAUGGACAAUUUCAAGAGAUCCAAGAGCUCCCCUAGCCUGGCAAGCCUGUCUAUUUCGGGGCAACUGACAGAAUUUGGAAGCCCUCUGCUGAGUCUUGAAGACUGCUUUCUUGGUGAGUGACGCGAAUUUGCAGUCCGUACCUCACAUUCCACACUAAAGCAACUGAAAGGAUGGAGAAAGACCUAGAAAGAGCAGCCCGCAUUACCUAUGAU